GACGAACGCUGGCGGCGUGCUUAACACAUGCAAGUCGAACGGAAAGGCCCUGCUUUUGUGGGUGCUCGAGCGGCGAACGGGUGAGUAACCCGUGAGUAACCUGCCCUUGCCUUUGGGGUAAUUUCAGGAAACUGGGGCUACUACCGGCUAGGAGCUCCUGCUGCUUGGUGGGGGUUGGAUAGUUUCGGCGGUUGGGGAUGGUCACGGGGCUUAUCAGCUUGUUGGGGGGGUAGUGGCUUACCAAGGCUUGGACGGGUAGCCGGCCUGAGAGGGUAGCCGGCCACAUUGGGCCUGAGAUACGGCCCAGACUCCUACCGGAGGCAGCAGUGGGGAAUAGUGCACAGUGGGCGGAAGCCUAGUGCAGUCACGCCGCGUGGGGGGUGACGGCCUUCGGGUUGUAAUCCGCUUUCGCCUGUGACGAAGCGUGAGUGACGGUAAUGGGUAAAGAAGCACCGGCUAACUACGUG
Molecule: ribosomal RNA, 467 nt
Filed under: uncultured bacterium
Lineage: Bacteria
Description: partial 16S ribosomal RNA
Rfam family: Bacterial small subunit ribosomal RNA
Source: RNAcentral